ACUGAAAAUAGUGUUGAAUUUUUGUUUAGAAAUUGUAUUUCUAACCCGGAAAUGUGAAACUUCCUCGUUGAUAUGUCGAAAAAUAUGGGAAAUUUGGAAUUAUUAAAUCGUCAGAAAAAAUCAUCCCAAUUUUCAAAAUCAGAUAUUUUCGUGAUUAUUGAAUUCUUCUUGUAACGCAGACGCCUAAAGAUGAGAAUUUUCGGUAGAUCAUGGGUCUCGCCACGCGGGCAAUGCGUUACAGUAAUCUGCUAUCCGCGUUGCGAGACAUUUCGUCGUUUGCA
This is a small nucleolar RNA of Caenorhabditis elegans, 281 nucleotides long. The record is from Ensembl. Lineage: Eukaryota; Metazoa; Nematoda; Chromadorea; Rhabditida; Rhabditidae.